Molecule: long non-coding RNA, 1812 nt
Filed under: Nicotiana tabacum (common tobacco)
Lineage: Eukaryota; Viridiplantae; Streptophyta; Magnoliopsida; Solanales; Solanaceae
Description: long non-coding RNA (NTAB_LNC003166)
Source: RNAcentral
AGCAUAUUUAAAAAUUAAGUUUGAUUUGCGGCUAUUAGGGAAAAAGAACUCGACUUCAGCGCUUGUUUUUUCCCCUUUCUACCUGUCAUAACCUGUUGAUAUCAUAGGAAGAAAGCAGUUCAGUAGACAAUAACGAUCCAGAAUUUAAACUUUGUUCAAACUUUAAGAUUUUUAGCAUUGAACCCAUUAUAUUUAUAAAGUUAAAUAUUCAUAACUAUUAUUUAUUAUAAUUUUACUGAAAUUUUCACAUAAAUUUAUGCUCUGGAUGUCUCGUACGUAUAGUUGUACAUCCGCCACCGACAAUAGCCAUCUAUAUUGUCCUCAACAUAUGGUUGCGAAUUUAGGAACAUAGGUAAUAAUACUAUGCUCUGACAUCUGUUCCAAGUUUAGGAACAUAAGUAGUAGUACAGUAUUGAUGAAAGUGCUGAUGAAGGGAUGAGCGGAACAGGAAGUCUACUGGACGCGGUUUCGGCUCUUAUCUGCUUCUUUCCAUAUUAGAGUGAUGUUUUGCCUCCAAUAGAUUGUUUCUUCUGCUUGAUAUUUCCUAGGCACCAACUUCCUUGGUUUCACAUUUUUAUUUAGGACAAUGCAAAGGGAGGGUGUGUUGUGCGAUGAGUGAGGCAGUGAUGAACAAGCAAGAAUUGACUCAACUAAACAACAACUACCCAGUAUAAUUUCACAGGUGAAGUAUGGAGAGGAUAGUAUGUACACAUACCUUGCCCUAUUCUUGUGGAAUAGAGAGACUGUCUCCGAUAUAGACCCUCGGCUCAAGAAGAAUAGCCUCAACUAAAGUUGAUAAAAAUUUGAACCUUAAGAAUGGCAUUCAUGUUAGUUACAAAUAUAAUACCAAAAUUUACCUAUCAAAAAUAUAAUUCGAUAUAUUCACAGUAGUACAACUUGACCAUCGGUUCGCAUGCGGAGGGUUUAGCUUUUUACAGAAGUAGAAGUUUGAUUCUUUAAGAUUCUCGUAACUUGUUAGAUAUGGCAAAAAGAGCUCCAAUGAUCACAAUUACAGCCCCUGAAAUCAAAAGGUUUGACUUGAUACUUUCAACUGCCCUUUCUUCCUUCUUCUUUGCUCUAUUGUCUUGUUCCUUCUACAAAUAAAAAAAAAGUUAGAGGUAAUAAAUAUAUCAAAAUAAAACAAAAUUAUGAGAAAACUAGAUUCAUUUGUCAUAACUUUUCUUCAAUAAGAGAAGCUGGAGUUUAUAGUGGGAGGUCUUAGGUUCAAAUUCAGGCAAAGGAAAAUAUAAAACAAGAGGUCAUUUUUACAUAUGUUCAGAUGGACAGAUAAUCUUGGUAGCAAAACUGAUAAAAUUACUCGAGGUGCAGUUGUUUGAACGCCACGAUUAUCCAAAAAAUAGGAAAUAAUAAAACCCGUAAAAUUAAUCGAGGUACACGCAAGCUGGCUCGAACGCUACAGUCAUUUAUACUACUCGAUCCGGAACACCACAAUUAUCCAAAAAAAGGGAUGGUAGGACUCGUGAAAUUAAUCAAGGUAAAUGCAAGCAAAGAUCGCACACCACGAUUAUAAAAGAAAAAAAUCCCAAAUUAAAGAAAAGGGAAUCCCAAAUUAAAGAAAAAGGGGUACCUUGACUUUCUUUUGUUUUGGAAAAACCUUCACUUGUCUAGACGUAGUAGUAAAAGAAGGAUGUCUUUCAAAAUCUUUGUCCUCUGUUUCAUCAUUAUUCUCAUCCACAAUUUUAGCCCCAGCUAAUGGUGGUUCAAUUUCUUCAAGAGUUGUCAUAUUAACUUUGCUUUAUGAAAGUUUUACAGCUUUUGUUUUUAUUAAAGUUUAAUUUGUCGUACUGUUUG